UGGGGAAUAUUGGACAAUGGGCGAAAGCUGAUCCAGCCAUGCCGCGUGUGUGAAGAAGGCCUUUUGGUUGUAAAGCACUUUAAGUGGGGAGGAAAAGCUUAUGGUUAAUACCCAUAAGCCCUGACGUUACCCACAGAAUAAGCACCGGCUAACUCUGUGCCAGCAGCCGCGGUAAUACAGAGGGUGCAAGCGUUAAUCGGAAUUACUGGGCGUAAAGCGCGCGUAGGUGGUUAUUUAAGUCAGAUGUGAAAGCCCCGGGCUUAACCUGGGAACUGCAUCUGAUACUGGAUAACUAGAGUAGGUGAGAGGGGAGUAGAAUUCCAGGUGUAGCGGUGAAAUGCGUAGAGAUCUGGAGGAAUACCGAUGGCGAAGGCAGCUCCCUGGCAUCAUACUGACACUGAGGUGCGAAAGCGUGGGUAGCAAACAGGAUUAGAUACCCUGGUAGUCCACGCCGUAAACGAUGUCUACCGGUCGUUGGGUCUUUUAAAGACUUAGUGACGCAGUUAACGCAAUAAGUAGACCGCCUGGGGAGUACGGCCGCAAGGUUA
RNAcentral lists this ribosomal RNA (548 nucleotides) under uncultured bacterium. Its description in RNAcentral is "bacterial SSU rRNA". It matches the Rfam family "Bacterial small subunit ribosomal RNA", at positions 355 to 896 of the family's 1533-position model. The record is from RNAcentral.